UUCACUUUGGCCUCAAGUAAUCCAAAAUUGAAAUGGUACAGAGAACAUUAUCAUAGGCCCCUGCACAAGGAUAACAUGCAAAGUUGAAAAAUGGUCUGUGCUUUU
Rhincodon typus (whale shark) is the source of this 105-nucleotide small nuclear RNA. The record is from RefSeq and is a predicted model, not a curated record. NCBI's taxonomy places the organism in Eukaryota, Metazoa, Chordata, Chondrichthyes, Orectolobiformes, Rhincodontidae.